CCUACGGGGGGCUGCAGUGGGGAAUUUUGGACAAUGGGGGCAACCCUGAUCCAGCCAUUCCGCGUGAGUGAAGAAGGCCUUCGGGUUGUAAAGCUCUUUUGUCCGGAGCGAAACGGGCGGCCCUAAUACGGUCGUCUACUGACGGUACCGGAAGAAUAAGCACCGGCUAACUACGUGCCAGCAGCCGCGGUAAUCCGUAGGGUGCGAGCGUUAAGCGGAAUUAGCGGGCGUAAAGCUGUCGCACAGAUGUGGAAUCCUCGGGCUCAACCUGGGAAUGGCAUUUGGGACUGCAAUGCUGGAGUGUGGCAGAGGGGACUAGAAUUCCUGGUGUAGCAGUGAAAUGCGUAGAUAUCAGGAGGAAUACCGAUGGCGAAGGCAGGUCCCUGGGUUAACACUGACGCUCAUGCACGAAAGCGUGGGGAGCAAACAGGAUUAGAUACCCCAGUAGUC
RNAcentral lists this ribosomal RNA (450 nucleotides) under uncultured bacterium. RNAcentral describes it as "partial 16S ribosomal RNA". It matches the Rfam family "Bacterial small subunit ribosomal RNA", at positions 338 to 795 of the family's 1533-position model. The record is from RNAcentral.